AUUAAGAUGUCUGAAGAAUUAGGUGAUAAAUUGUAAGUUUAUUUAUGAAUAAUAUUCUCUUAAUA
RNAcentral lists this transfer RNA (65 nucleotides) under Batracomorphus allionii. RNAcentral describes it as "tRNA-Tyr". Lineage: Eukaryota; Metazoa; Arthropoda; Insecta; Hemiptera; Cicadellidae. The record is from RNAcentral.